GCCUGGGUGGCUCAGUCAGUUAAGCGUCCGACUUCAGCUCGGGUCACGAUCUCACGGUCCGUGAGUUCGAGCCCCGCAUCAGGCU
This is a non-coding RNA of Felis catus (domestic cat), 85 nucleotides long. The record is from Rfam. Lineage: Eukaryota; Metazoa; Chordata; Mammalia; Carnivora; Felidae.